Molecule: ribosomal RNA, 407 nt
Filed under: uncultured bacterium
Lineage: Bacteria
Description: partial 16S ribosomal RNA
Rfam family: Bacterial small subunit ribosomal RNA
Source: RNAcentral
GACGAACGCUGGCGGCGUGCCUAAUACAUGCAAGUAGAACGCAGUUGCGCACGGGUGAGUAACGCGUAGGUAACUGCCUCAUAGCGGGGGAUAACUUUUGGAAACGAUAGCUAAUACCGCAUACUGUGAGAUGGACCUGCUUUGUAUUAGCUAGUUGUUGAGGUAAAGGCUCACCAAGGCGACGAUACAUAGCCGACCUGAGAGGAUGAUCGGCCACACUGGGACUGAGACACGGCCCAGACUACUACGGGAGGCAGCAGUAGGGAAUAUUCGGCAAUGGGCGAAAGUCUGACGGAGCAAUGCCGCGUGAGUGAAGAAGGUUUUCGGGUCGUAAAACUCUGUUGUUAGAGAAGCGGUAUCUAACGAGAAAGCCACGGCUAACUACGUGCCAGCAGCCGCGGUAAUUC